Molecule: ribosomal RNA, 468 nt
Filed under: uncultured bacterium
Lineage: Bacteria
Description: partial 16S ribosomal RNA
Rfam family: Bacterial small subunit ribosomal RNA
Source: RNAcentral
GACGAACGCUGGCGGCGUGCUUAACACAUGCAAGUCGAACGGAAAGGCCCUGCUUUUGUGGGGUGCUCGAGUGGCGAACGGGUGAGUAACACGUGAGUAACCUGCCCUUGACUUUGGGAUAACUUCAGGAAACUGGGGCUAAUACCGGAUAGGAGCUCCUGCUGCAUGGUGGGGGUUGGAAAGUUUCGGCGGUUGGGGAUGGACUCGCGGCUUAUCAGCUUGUUGGUGGGGUAGUGGCUUACCAAGGCUUUGACGGGUAGCCGGCCUGAGAGGGUGACCGGCCACAUUGGGACUGAGAGACGGACCAGACUCCUACGGGAGGCAGCAGUGGGGAAUAUUGCACAAUGGGCGGAAGCCUGAUGCAGCAACGCCGCGUGCGGGAUGACGGCCUUCGGGUUGCAAACCGCUUUCGCCUGUGACGAAGCGUGAGUGACGGUAAUGGGUAAAGAAGCACCGGCUAACUACGUG